CUAGAAACAUUGACUUCUUGUUCCCGGCCUAUCCGGUAAUAUAUCUGCGGAUACUCUCGCAUGGAUCCGAGUCUUCUCUCCCAAAACUCCCAAACAGGGGAUCGAGAAAAGUGGAAUGUUGCGACGUGUAAUAUGAAGGUGCAGAAGUUGCAAACAUAAGAUAAGACUUAGAGAUUGCAGGAGAGACGAAUUCAUCGCCUAAUGAAAUUUGGAGAGCAGCAAUGUUUAGUUAAUGUUGUAAUUUUCAUUCUUCUAUAUAAUUAAGUUACAAGUUGUACGUUACCUUCUGAAAAAGUUAUAAUUACUAAGGAUCUUGAUGAUUAUUCAAGAAAUAAAAAAA
Molecule: long non-coding RNA, 340 nt
Organism: Arabidopsis lyrata subsp. lyrata
Lineage: Eukaryota; Viridiplantae; Streptophyta; Magnoliopsida; Brassicales; Brassicaceae
Exons: 2
Source: RefSeq, a predicted model, not a curated record